UCCCGGAUGUUAGCGGCGGACGGGUGAGUAACACGUGGGUAACCUGCCUGUAAGACUGGGAUAACUCCGGGAAACCGGAGCUAAUACCGGAUAGUUCCUUGAACCGCAUGGUUCAAGGAUGAAAGACGGUUUCGGCUGUCACUUACAGAUGGACCCGCGGCGCAUUAGCUAGUUGGUGAGGUAACGGCUCACCAAGGCGACGAUGCGUAGCCGACCUGAGAGGGUGAUCGGCCACACUGGGACUGAGACACGGCCCAGACUCCUACGGGAGGCAGCAGUAGGGAAUCUUCCGCAAUGGACGAAAGUCUGACGGAGCAACGCCGCGUGAGUGAUGAAGGUUUUCGGAUCGUAAAGCUCUGUUGUUAGGGAAGAACAAGUGCAAGAGUAACUGCUUGCACCUUGACGGUACCUAACCAGAAAGCCACGGCUAACUACGUGCCAGCAGCCGCGGUAAUACGUAGGUGGCAAGCGUUGUCCGGAAUUAUUGGGCGUAAAGGGCUCGCAGGCGGUUUCUUAAGUCUGAUGUGAAAGCCCCCGGCUCAACCGGGGAGGGUCAUUGGAAACUGGGAAACUUGAGUGCAGAAGAGGAGAGUGGAAUUCCACGUGUAGCGGUGAAAUGCGUAGAGAUGUGGAGGAACACCAGUGGCGAAGGCGACUCUC
This 660-nucleotide ribosomal RNA is filed under the name Bacillus sp. TD10. Its description in RNAcentral is "bacterial SSU rRNA". It matches the Rfam family "Bacterial small subunit ribosomal RNA", at positions 83 to 729 of the family's 1533-position model. The record is from RNAcentral. Lineage: Bacteria; Bacillati; Bacillota; Bacilli; Caryophanales; Bacillaceae.